This 855-nucleotide ribosomal RNA is filed under the name uncultured bacterium. Its description in RNAcentral is "bacterial SSU rRNA". It matches the Rfam family "Bacterial small subunit ribosomal RNA", at positions 524 to 1381 of the family's 1533-position model. The record is from RNAcentral.
UACAUAGGGUGCAAGCGUUGUCCGGAAUUAUUGGGCGUAAAGAGCUCGUAGGUUGUUUGACACGUCGGAUGUGAAAAUCUGAGGCUUAACCUCAGACCUGCAUUCGAUACGGUCUUACUAGAGUGUGGUAGGGGAGACUGGAAUUCCUGGUGUAGCGGUGGAAUGCGCAGAUAUCAGGAGGAACACCAAUGGCGAAGGCAGGUCUCUGGGCCAUUACUGACACUGAGGAGCGAAAGCGCGGGGAGCGAACAGGAUUAGAUACCCUGGUAGUCCGCGCCGUAAACGGUGGGCACUAGUUGUGGGAACCUUCCACGGUUUCCGCGACGCAGCUAACGCAUUAAGUGCCCCGCCUGGGGAGUACGAUCGCAAGAUUAAAACUCAAAGGAAUUGACGGGGCCCCGCACAAGCAGCGGAGCAUGCGGCUUAAUUCGACGCAACGCGAAGAACCUUACCAAGGCUUGACAGUUAGAGAAAAGCUACAGAGAUGUAGUGUCCGCAAGGGCUCUAUUCAGGUGGUGCAUGGUUGUCGUCAGCUCGUGUCGUGAGAUGUUGGGUUAAGUCCCGCAACGAGCGCAACCCUCGUUCUGUGUUGCCAGCAUUUAGUUGGGGACUCACAGGAGACUGCCGGGGUCAACUCGGAGGAAGGUGGGGAUGACGUCAAAUCAUCAUGCCCCUUAUGUCUUGGGCUGCACGCAUGCUACAAUGGCCGGUACAAAGGGCUGCGAUACCGUAAGGUGGAGCGAAUCCCAAAAAGCCGGUCUCAGUUCGGAUUGAGGUCUGCAACUCGACCUCAUGAAGUUGGAGUUGCUAGUAAUCGUAGAUCAGCAACGCUACGGUGAAUACGUUCCCGGGGCU